This is a long non-coding RNA of Mustela erminea (ermine), 571 nucleotides long. RefSeq lists it as uncharacterized. The record is from RefSeq and is a predicted model, not a curated record. The transcript is spliced from 3 exons. Lineage: Eukaryota; Metazoa; Chordata; Mammalia; Carnivora; Mustelidae.
UAGUUCCUAAUACAAAGCCCUAAGAUGCUCAGUAAUUGUCAGUUGAAUGAAUGGAUUCUUAAAUGGCUCAAAGGCUUUUCUCUUAUUUCCAUGCCACCUUAUGGCAUUUCUGGCCCUCUCUUCCCCUUGUCCUCCCUCUUCUAGAGGAAUUGGAGUACAUACCCUCAUGGUUGCUGAUUUCAAGUGGCCUUAGAGCAUUCUGACACAAGGACUUGUGAAAUGACAGGGGAUGGACAGAGGAGAGCAGAGCAGACUCCUGAGGCCACAAGGCUGCCAGCUUCCUGCUCUCCACCACUGCUCCCCUGCAGCCAGAAGUCCUAUUUCAUCCCUUUACCACCUCCACCCCAGACUAUGGCAGUUUCUGAUGAUGGCUUAGAUUGGGGUCCUGGCCGCCGCUAUGUGGCAGGUUGCAUUAGUACUGAGUAUGUUGGUCACCAUCUAACUUGAUCCUCAUAAAUACCUGUAAAGAGGGCAUUGUCCCCGUGUUCCAGGUGAGGAAACUGAGGCACAGACAAUUUAGUGAUAUGGUUAAGAAAUGUCAGAGCUGGGACAGACUGUGAUUUCAAAGGCC